Salvia hispanica is the source of this 177-nucleotide non-coding RNA. The record is from RefSeq and is a predicted model, not a curated record. Lineage: Eukaryota; Viridiplantae; Streptophyta; Magnoliopsida; Lamiales; Lamiaceae.
GAUUGCAUACAGCAAUCAUGCAUACCAUCAUCCAUUCUCUUCACAGUUCAAGCAUACUAGUGAUGCUGAAGACGAUCACCAAUAUUGUGGAUGAGCUCUUGGCUCCUAGUGAUGAGAUAUUCAACAACAUUGCUCUUGAAUUUUCUCUUAUUAAUGAAGUUACAUAUUUUCUUCUUA